Molecule: ribosomal RNA, 388 nt
Filed under: uncultured bacterium
Lineage: Bacteria
Description: partial 16S ribosomal RNA
Rfam family: Bacterial small subunit ribosomal RNA
Source: RNAcentral
AUACAUAGGGGGAGAGCGUUAUCCGGAUUUAUUGGGCGUAAAGGGUGCGUAGGCGGUAAAUUAAGUCUAAGGUUAAAGUGCAGGGCUCAACCCUGUGAUGCCUUAGAAACUGGUUUACUUGAGUUUGGUAUAGGUAAGUGGAACUCCAUGUGUAGCGGUAAAAUGCGUAAAUAUAUGGAAGAACACCAGUGGCGAAGGCGGCUUACUGGGCCACAACUGACGCUGAGGCACGAAAGCGUGGGGAGCAAACAGGAUUAGAUACCCUGGUAGUCCACGCUGUAAACGAUGAAUACUAAGUGUUGGAAAAAUCCAGUGCUGAAGUUAACGCAUUAAGUAUUCCGCCUGAGUAGUACGUACGCAAGUAUGAAACUCAAAUGAAUUGGCGGGG